ACAGCCCUGGACAACUUUCAGGAAGACAGUUCUGGUCUGUAGCAAUUAACACAUGGUCAUCCUCAGAAAAAGGUCCUCUCAAUUAUUUCCCAGAGAUACCCAUAACUUAAAAUGCAGGAACCAAGAGAUUUGAGCCUAGACAUUUGGAUGAAAAGCGAUUUCCACCUGGAGAAAGUCACUGCCCUUCUGUGCAGAGUACCAUUGUGUCUUGAAUCCAGCUUGGCCAUAAGGAAAUGGGGCGAGACUUUGUCAUGUAUGUCGCUGAAGUUCAGCUAUGCAAAAAUGUUCACCUAUCCUUGAUCAACCAGUCCAGGAACCAUCAAAGAAGAAAAUGAGAUUCGACUUAGAAGACCUGUUCUUUAUAAACCCCUGCACAGCCCUAAUGAUCAACACCACUUCCAGUGCUCAUAAAUUACUGCUUCAAUAAUUGUUCUGCAAUUCUGCCUAUUCUCAUUGAAUGCUUCGUAUAAUCCCUUUAUUUACUUUGGGCUACGAUUCAUUUUUAUCAGUGAGUAUUGUACUUGUUUCAUCUCAAAAAUCAUUCUCCUUGAGAAAAAAAAAAAGAACAGAGUUGAGGAAUCCUGCUUUCUCUUUCAUCCACAAAUGCUCUAUUGUCAGAAGGGGGCUUAUAUUUCUUGUGAACUUCUUGUGCUGAUUUUAACUUUGUAAAGUUUUCCUGUUUUCCACGUAUGAAUGAGCAUGAGAACUAUGAAAGGCAAUCAGGUAUAAGAUAUUGUCAAGUAUGUGACUUGAGGGACAAGUGAUCUAUGUGAGCCUGAAGGGAAUCCUGGGAUUGAGAGAGCAUGCAGAGAAGGCACAUAGGUGUGCUAGGGCAUGCAGGUUGUACAGAGAUGGACAGGGAGAAAAUUCGAGUGACAGAGGUUUUCUAUAUGGUGGGAGUAGUGUGGGUUGGCGUCUAUCAGGGGAGACCAACUGACCAUAUCCCUCUGUUCACUUUUAGCCAUGAGUACAAGGCUACAAGAACUCGAG
This 990-nucleotide long non-coding RNA is filed under the name Homo sapiens (human). Its description in RNAcentral is "HSALNT0377418". Lineage: Eukaryota; Metazoa; Chordata; Mammalia; Primates; Hominidae. The record is from RNAcentral.